Molecule: ribosomal RNA, 502 nt
Filed under: uncultured bacterium
Lineage: Bacteria
Description: partial 16S ribosomal RNA
Rfam family: Bacterial small subunit ribosomal RNA
Source: RNAcentral
AUUGAACGCUGGCGGAAUGCUUUACACAUGCAAGUCGAACGGCAGCACGGGUGCUUGCACCUGGUGGCGAGUGGCGAACGGGUGAGUAAUAUAUCGGAACGUACCCAGUAAUGGGGGAUAACUAACCGAAAGGUUAGCUAAUACCGCAUACGCCCUGAGGGGGAAAGCGGGGGAUCGAAAGACCUCGCGUUAUUGGAGCGGCCGAUGUCGGAUUAGCUAGUUGGUGAGGUAAAGGCUCACCAAGGCGACGAUCAGUAGCUGGUCUGAGAGGAUGAUCAGCCACACUGGAACUGAGAAAGGGUCCAGACUCCUACGGGAGGCAGCAGUGGGGAAUUUUGGACAAUGGGGGAAACCCUGAUCCAGCCAUUCCGCGUGAGUGAAGAAGGCCUUCGGGUUGUAAAGCUCUUUCGGCAGGGAAGAAACGCUCUGGAUUAAUACUCCGGGGUAAUGACGGUACCUGAAGAAGAAGCACCGGCUAACUACGUGCCAGCCGCCGCCGUAA